This 484-nucleotide ribosomal RNA is filed under the name uncultured bacterium. Its description in RNAcentral is "partial 16S ribosomal RNA". It matches the Rfam family "Bacterial small subunit ribosomal RNA", at positions 30 to 507 of the family's 1533-position model. The record is from RNAcentral.
AUUGAACGCUGGCGGCAGGCCUAACACAUGCAAGUCGAGCGGAUGAAGGGAGCUUGCUCCUGGAUUCAGCGGCGGACGGGUGAGUAAUGCCUAGGAAUCUGCCUGGUAGUGGGGGAUAACGUCCGGAAACGGGCGCUAAUACCGCAUACGUCCUGAGGGAGAAAGUGGGGGAUCUUCGGACCUCACGCUAUCAGAUGAGCCUAGGUCGGAUUACCUAGUUGGUGGGGUAAAGGCCUACCAAGGCGACGAUCCGUAACUGGUCUGAGAGGAUGAUCAGUCACACUGGAACUGAGACACGGUCCAGACUCCUACGGGAGGCAGCAGUGGGGAAUAUUGGACAAUGGGCGAAAGCCUGAUCCAGCCAUGCCGCGUGUGUGAAGAAGGUCUUCGGAUUGUAAAGCACUUUAAGUUGGGAGGAAGGGCAGUAAGUUAAUACCUUGCUGUUUUGACGUUACCAACAGAAUAAGCACCGGCUAACUUCGUG